This 709-nucleotide ribosomal RNA is filed under the name archaeon enrichment culture clone A21D19. RNAcentral's name for it is "bacterial SSU rRNA". It matches the Rfam family "Archaeal small subunit ribosomal RNA", at positions 21 to 745 of the family's 1478-position model. The record is from RNAcentral.
GGUUACUGCUAUCGAGGUUCGACUAAGCCAUGCGAGUCGAAUGUAGCAAUACAUGGCGAACUGCUCAGUAACACGUGGACAACCUGCCCUUAGGUUGGGUAUAAACCCGGGAAACUGGGUAUAAUACCCGAUAGGUCUCGAUUGCUGGAAUGCAUCGAGAUUUAAAGCUCCGGCGCCUAAGGAUGGGUCUGCGGCCUAUCAGGUAGUAGUGGGUGUAGCGUACCUACUAGCCUACGACGGGUACGGGUUGUGAGAGCAAGAGCCCGGAGAUGGAUUCUGAGACACGAAUCCAGGCCCUACGGGGUGCAGCAGGCGCGAAAACUUUACAAUGCUGGCAACAGCGAUAAGGGAACCUCGAGUGCCAGGUUACAAAUCUGGCUGUCGAGAUGCCUAAAAAGCAUUUCAUAGCAAGGGCCGGGCAAGACCGGUGCCAGCCGCCGCGGUAACACCGGCGGCUCGAGUGGUAACCGUUAUUAUUGGGUCUAAAGGGUCUGUAGCCCGGCCGGAUAAGUCUCUUGAGAAAUCUGGCAGCUUAACUGUCAGGCUUUCACGAGAUACUGUCUGGCUCGAGGCCGGGAGAGGUGAGAGGUACUUCAGGGUAGGGGUGAAAUCUUGUAAUCCUUGAGACCACCAGUGGCGAAGCGUCUCACAGAACGGACCUGACGCAAGGACGAAAGCUAGGCACGAACCGGAUUAGAUACCCGGUAGU